This 829-nucleotide unclassified non-coding RNA is filed under the name Hevea brasiliensis (rubber tree). Lineage: Eukaryota; Viridiplantae; Streptophyta; Magnoliopsida; Malpighiales; Euphorbiaceae. The record is from RNAcentral.
UCCAAUGUAUUUCUGCGACCUAGGCAACCCUGAAGCAGCAAAAUUGUUGAAGUUACUCACUUUUCCAGAUAUCUUCUCAAUUCCGCUGACUAGCAUGUGCCUCGAACUCUCAAUCUCCGAUUGCAAUCCAUCCCUAGCUUUCACCGCCUCCUCAAAUUGCUUCCCAAUCUCAUCUCUCUGCUUCACAGACUCCUCCUUUAACUUACUCAAUUCAACCAAAUCCGCAGAUAUUCUCUCCUUCUCCUUCAAAGCCUCUUCCUUCUCGCGCACAGCUUCAUCCCGCUGCCUCGCGCACUCGUCUCGCUUCCUGAUUGCGCGAGCGCCUUUAACCGAUUGAACGAAACCUGCAGUUCAGACUUGGACGUCUCGGCUGCCUCACGAGCAGCUCUCUCGCGAUCGAGCUCAGCAAGCAGGUCGCGAUAUCUCUCUACGGAUAAAUCUUCCAAACUCGGACUUCUAAUAGCGAUCGGCACCGGAUCCUCACCCUCCACAUCGCUCAAAACGGCGUCGUUGUCGUCACCGGCACCAGUGGCCAUUCCAGAUUGAAUUCAACUAGUAUAGCGGGUGAUCAAUCCAUAAAACUUAAUAAUAUUCAAUAUCUAAUUAAUGCAAUUUCUUGUUAUGGGUAAGCCCUAGAAUCGGAAUUAGAUGAAAACCAAAGAAAACGAUUACGUGGAAUGAAAGGCAAAAUCGAUGUUGGAAUUGGACGCUGACUAGAUAGUUUUCAAAGAGAAAAUUGAGGUUUUGCUUAGAAGCCGAAUGAAAUUGGAGAGAGAGAUAGAAGAUGAGUUACGUAGGUGCAAGUACAGGAAGGAGGAGGAGGAGGAGG